This 253-nucleotide ribosomal RNA is filed under the name uncultured bacterium. RNAcentral's name for it is "partial 16S ribosomal RNA". It matches the Rfam family "Bacterial small subunit ribosomal RNA", at positions 524 to 776 of the family's 1533-position model. The record is from RNAcentral.
UACGUAGGUGGCAAGCGUUGUCCGGAUUUAUUGGGUUUAAAGGGUGCGUAGGCGGUUCCAUAAGUCAGUGGUGAAAUACAAUAGCUUAACUAUUGAGGUGCCAUUGAUACUGCGGAACUUGAGUACAGACGAGGUAGGCGGAAUUGACGGUGUAGCGGUGAAAUGCUUAGAUAUCGUCAAGAACACCGAUUGCGAAGGCAGCUAACGAAGCUGUAACUGACGCUGAGGCUCGAAAGUGCGGGGAUCAAACAGG